UACGAAGGGGGCUAGCGUUGCUCGGAAUCACUGGGCGUAAAGCGCACGUAGGCGGAUUGUUAAGUCAGGGGUGAAAUCCUGGAGCUCAACUCCAGAACUGCCUUUGAUACUGGCGAUCUCGAGUCCGGGAGAGGUGAGUGGAACUGCGAGUGUAGAGGUGAAAUUCGUAGAUAUGUCAUAGAACACCGAUUGCGAAGGCAGCUGACGAAACUGUAACUGACACUGAGGCUCGAAAGUGUGGGGAUCAAACAGG
This 253-nucleotide ribosomal RNA is filed under the name uncultured bacterium. RNAcentral's name for it is "partial 16S ribosomal RNA". It matches the Rfam family "Bacterial small subunit ribosomal RNA", at positions 524 to 776 of the family's 1533-position model. The record is from RNAcentral.